Epinephelus fuscoguttatus (brown-marbled grouper) is the source of this 336-nucleotide long non-coding RNA. RefSeq lists it as uncharacterized. The record is from RefSeq and is a predicted model, not a curated record. The transcript has 3 exons. NCBI's taxonomy places the organism in Eukaryota, Metazoa, Chordata, Actinopteri, Perciformes, Serranidae.
CAUAGCUCCAUUGAUGGUCUCUUCCAGCAACCUGCACAGCGGACUCCUAUCCUGUUGUCAAGUGAAGACCUGCGUGGAACGGCAGGGACCAGAGAUUCACCCGUUUUUCCCAUACCUUGUGUCGAAGAAGAGCACACACCCAUCGACAUGAACCUGACUUUCUGUGAUUCCCAACGUCAUCAGCCAGAGAGGGCUCUUCUUCCACCCACUCAUGUGAACUCAAGACUUGUUGGACUUCACAGACUUCAACUUGCUGUGCAUCCCCCUCUCUCCUUCCAUCCCACUCUAUCCCUAUUUUUACCUUCCCUCCCUCCCCCUCCCUCCAUUCCUCUCUCU